Molecule: small nuclear RNA, 107 nt
Filed under: Vulpes vulpes (red fox)
Lineage: Eukaryota; Metazoa; Chordata; Mammalia; Carnivora; Canidae
Also listed under: 1 other name
Source: RNAcentral
AUGCUUGCUUCUGCAGCAUAUAUACUAAAACUGGAAUGAUACAGAGAAGAUUAGCAUAGCCCCUGUGCAAGGAUGACAUGCAAAUUCAUGAAGCAUUCCAUAUUUUU